GACGAACGCUGGCGGCGUGCUUAACACAUGCAAGUCGAACGGAAAGGCCCUGCUUUUGUGGGGUGCUCGAGUGGCGAACGGGUGAGUAACACGUGAGUAACCUGCCCUUGACUUUGGGAUAACUUCAGGAAACUGGGGCUAAUACCGGAUAGGAGCUCCUGCUGCACGGGGGGGGUUGGAAAGUUUCGGCGGUUGGGGAUGGACUCGCGGCUUAUCAGCUUGUUGGUGGGGUAGUGGCUUACCAAGGCUUUGACGGGUAGCCGGCCUGAGAGGGUGACCGGCCACAUUGGGACUGAGAUACGGCCCAGACUCCUACGGGAGGCAGCAGUGGGGAAUAUUGCACAAUGGGCGGAAGCCUGAUGCAGCAACGCCGCGUGCGGGAUGACGGCCUUCGGGUUGUAAACCGCUUUCGCCUGUGACGAAGCGUGAGUGACGGUAAUGGGUAAAGAAGCACCGGCUAACUACGUG
Molecule: ribosomal RNA, 468 nt
Filed under: uncultured bacterium
Lineage: Bacteria
Description: partial 16S ribosomal RNA
Rfam family: Bacterial small subunit ribosomal RNA
Source: RNAcentral